GAUGAACGCUGGCGGCGUGCCUAAUACAUGCAAGUCGAACGAGGUGCUUUUGUAGCAAUACGAGAGUAUCCUAGUGGCGAACGGGUGAGUAACGCGUGGAUGACCUGCCCCAAAGUGCGGGAUAACAGUCCGAAAGGAUUGCUAAUACCUCAUGUGGUUAUCGGUUUUAGAAAGCGAUAACUAAAGCAGCAAUGCGCUUUGGGAGGGAUCUGCGUCCCAUCAGCUAGUUGGUGAGGUAACGGCUCACCAAGGCGACGACGGGUAGGGGACCUGAGAGGGUGGCCCCCCACAAUGGAACUGAAACACGGUCCAUACACCUACGGGUGGCAGCAGUAGGGAAUAUUGCUCAAUGGGCGAAAGCCUGAAGCAGCAACGCCGCGUGUGCGAUGAAGGCCUUGGGUCGUAAAGCACUUUUCUAAGAGAUGAGAAAGGACAGUAUCUUAGGAAUAAGUCUCGGCUAACUACGUGCCAGCAG
RNAcentral lists this ribosomal RNA (475 nucleotides) under uncultured bacterium. RNAcentral describes it as "bacterial SSU rRNA". It matches the Rfam family "Bacterial small subunit ribosomal RNA", at positions 28 to 514 of the family's 1533-position model. The record is from RNAcentral.